RNAcentral lists this transfer RNA (58 nucleotides) under Anathallis welteri. RNAcentral's name for it is "partial tRNA-Thr". Lineage: Eukaryota; Viridiplantae; Streptophyta; Magnoliopsida; Asparagales; Orchidaceae. The record is from RNAcentral.
GUGGUAGACUAACACCAGGGUAAGGUGUAAGUUUUCGGUUCAAAUUCGGUAAAGGGGC